RNAcentral lists this long non-coding RNA (1376 nucleotides) under Fragaria vesca (wild strawberry). Its description in RNAcentral is "long non-coding RNA (FVES_LNC001009)". The record is from RNAcentral. Lineage: Eukaryota; Viridiplantae; Streptophyta; Magnoliopsida; Rosales; Rosaceae.
CCUUAUCAUCAUCACCAUCAUCAUAAUAAUCAUUAUCAACAACACAAUAAUUAUCAUAAUCAUUUUAUCAUCAUAAACCUUAUCAUCAUCACCAUCAUCAUCAUAAUAAUCAUUAUCAUCAACACAAUAAUUGGUUCCAAGUGAACCUUGGUGAGAUAUUACUCACCUAUAUAUUCCCGCUGCGUCUUCACCAAAAACACAACCAAAAGAGCCAAGCCAAUCACACCUCACAAGUCACCUAUAAUUACACAAUUAAUUAUCUUAGUAACCAAAGAACUUAUAGGAUAUCAAACACCCUUAAACUAACCCAUAGCCCCAAGGAGGACAACCUUCCAAGGUCGUCGAACUUAACGACUAAAUAAAGCUGCCUCCAAUCCUUAAAACCUAAACUUAAACCUCACAUAAGCCUAAGCUUAAACUUAAUGUCCUAACAUGCAAUCCUUGCUCACAACCUAAAAUUUCCACAACUCAACAAGCUCACAAUAACAAGAGCUAGCUAAGACCGAAACCUAGAGCUAGGAAACUGCCGGACGCGUUGCCACGCGCCACCACAUAAGCCACCACAUAAACCUUCCAAGGUCGUCGAACUUAACGACUAAAUAAGGCUGCCUCCAAUCCUUAAAACCUAAACUUAAACCUCACAUAAGCCUAAGCUUAAACUUAAUGUCCUAACAUGCAAUCCUUACUCACAACCUAAAAUUUCCACAACUCAACAAGCUCACAAUAACAAAAGAUAGCUAACACCGAAACCUAGAGCUAGGAAACUGCCGGACGCGUUGCCACGCGCCACCACAGGUGGCGGAGAGUGGGCCCCACGCGUCACCCCAACAACUUCAAAAUCUGGACAAACUUCCAACAGCAAACUAGUAGAUUGAAGCAAGGGGAGCAUCUUUUAUACCUGAAGGUUGAACCCAUUUGGCCGGAAUCGGCCGGAAUCGUCCAAAAGAAAACCGGCUGCCAAGAAGACUUCAAUCAGAUUCUAGACCUCAAAACGAGGUAAAUGGCAGCUCAAAUCGUGCUUAGAGGGAAGAGACUUCAAGGAAAAGAAGCACUCACGAGGUCGGGGUUCACCAGCAAAGCCCGAACUCCGGUGAGCAACUCGGCAGCGUUCUCCUCCAACUGAAGGCUUCGUCUCCGGCUUGAAACACGGCAUCGCACCACCAUAGGCGGAGAGAGGGUGGCCGUGCGAUCCUAAAGCAACCGUUGGCGGCCAAAACAGCGGCCGGAAGUGGGAGGACUGAGCCGGAGAAGAGAGGGCGCACGGGAUGGUCGGGAGAGAAGAGAGAGAGAGAGAGAGAGAGAGAGAGAGAGAGAGUGGUUNNNNNNNNNNNNNNNNNNNNAGAGAGAGAGAGAGAGUUGGGGUUUUCUGAAAAUUA